This 586-nucleotide long non-coding RNA is filed under the name Mytilus galloprovincialis (Mediterranean mussel). Lineage: Eukaryota; Metazoa; Mollusca; Bivalvia; Mytilida; Mytilidae. The record is from RNAcentral.
AUUAUUGUCAUUUUGUUUAUUUUCUUUGGUUACAUCUUCUGACAUCAGACUCGGACUUCUCUUGAACUGAAUUUUAAUGUGCGUAUUGUUAUGCGUUUACUUUUCUACAUUGGCUAGAGGUAUAGGGGGAGGGUUGAGAUCUCACAAACAUGUUUAACCCCGCCGCAUUUUUGCGCCUGUCCCAAGUCAGGAGCCUCUGGCCUUUGUUAGUCUUGUAUUAUUUUAAUUUUAGUUUCUUGUGGACAAUUUGGAAAUUAGUAUGGCGUUCAUUAUCACUGAACUAGUAUAUAUUUGUUUAGGGCCAGUUGAAGGACGCCUCCGGGUGCGGGAAUUUCUCGCUACAUUGAAGACCUGUUGGUGACCUUCUGCUGUUGUUUUUUUUUCUAUGGUCGGGUUGUUGUCUCUUUGGCACAUUCCCCAUUUCCAUUCUCAAUUUUAUUUUAUAAUCUACCCUAUGCUCUGUUAACUGUUUAUUUUAGACUUUUGAUAGUUUGGAUAAAUGUUUAACAUUGUUAUAAUUCAAAUAUGAGAAUAGAGUCAAAUCGGUGACCAUGAAUUUGACAGCUAGUGCCCCUUUAAUGUUUAU